AGGUGCUGCAUGGCUGUCGUCAGCUCGUGUCGUGAGAUGUUCGGUUAAGUCCGCUAACGAGCGCAACCCUCGUCGUGUGUUACAAGUGUCACACGAGACCGCCGGUUUUAAGCCGGAGAAAGGUGAGGAUGAAGUCAAGUCAGCAUGGCCUUUAUAUCCUGGGCUACACACACGCUACAAUGGCUAGUACAAUUGGUCGCGAAACCGCGAGGUGGAGCCAAUCCUAAAAGCCAGCCUCAGUUCAGAUUGUAGGCUGCAACUCGCCUGCAUGAAGAUGGAGUUGCUAGUAAACGCAGGUCAGCAUUACUGCGUUGAAUACGUUCCCGGGGAUU
Molecule: ribosomal RNA, 332 nt
Filed under: uncultured Levilinea sp.
Lineage: Bacteria; Bacillati; Chloroflexota; Anaerolineae; Anaerolineales; Anaerolineaceae
Description: bacterial SSU rRNA
Rfam family: Bacterial small subunit ribosomal RNA
Source: RNAcentral